UGCAUUCACUACUGUAAGUCUCUCUGGAUAAGAGUGUCUGCUAAAUGACUAAAA
Non-coding RNA from Salmo salar (Atlantic salmon), 54 nucleotides. The record is from Rfam. Lineage: Eukaryota; Metazoa; Chordata; Actinopteri; Salmoniformes; Salmonidae.